AAUGUCUCGGAACGUGCCUAGUAGCGGGGGAUAACUACCCGAAAGCGUAGCUAAUACCGCAAACGCCCUACGGGGGAAAGCAGGGGAUCGCCAGACCUUGCACUAUUAGAGCGGCCUAUGUCGGAUUAGCUAGUUGGUGGGGUAACGGCUCACCAAGGCGACGAUCCGUAACUGGUUUGAGAGGACGACCAGCCACACUGGGACUGAGACACGGCCCAGACUCCUACGGGAGGCAGCAGUGGGGAAUUUUGGACAAUGGGGGAAACCCUGAUCCAGCCAUCCCGCGUGUGCGAUGAAGGCCUUCGGGUUGUAAAGCACUUUUGGCAGGAAAGAAACGUCAUGGGCUAAUACCCCGUGAAACUGACGGUACCUGCAGAAUAAGCACCGGCUAACUACGUGCCAGCAGCCGCGGUAAUACGUAGGGUGCAAGCGUUAAUCGGAAUUACUGGGCGUAAAGCGUGCGCAGGCGGUUCGGAAAGAAAGAUGUGAAAUCCCAGAGCUUAACUUUGGAACUGCAUUUUUAACUACCGAGCUAAAGUGUGUCAGAGGGAGGUGGAAUUCCGCGUG
RNAcentral lists this ribosomal RNA (567 nucleotides) under Achromobacter spanius. Its description in RNAcentral is "bacterial SSU rRNA". It matches the Rfam family "Bacterial small subunit ribosomal RNA", at positions 112 to 675 of the family's 1533-position model. Lineage: Bacteria; Pseudomonadati; Pseudomonadota; Betaproteobacteria; Burkholderiales; Alcaligenaceae. The record is from RNAcentral.